This 70-nucleotide transfer RNA is filed under the name Salvia splendens (bonfire salvia). It matches the Rfam family "tRNA". Rfam says of the family: Transfer RNA (tRNA) molecules are approximately 80 nucleotides in length. Their secondary structure includes four short double-helical elements and three loops (D, anti-codon, and T loops). Lineage: Eukaryota; Viridiplantae; Streptophyta; Magnoliopsida; Lamiales; Lamiaceae. The record is from Rfam by way of RNAcentral.
GGGGGUGUAGCUUAGAUGGUAGAGCACUCGCUUAGCAUGCGAGAGGUACAGGGAUCGAUACCCAUCUCCA